CAUAAACAGGUCUGAGCACCUGAGUGUGGUAGAAGCUUGGAAAACCCCUGAGAAGAAGAAAACAUCUUGAGACAUAACAGAAAAUAAGAGAUUGUUGAGAAACAGCAGCAUACAAUAACAAUGCAGCUGGAAGGCUGAGGAGAUGGGGUAAGGGCCAAGGGAACAAAGAAAGACUGACAGUGUGGACGCCAGGGAGCGUGGGCCAGCAGCACCAUCUGGGGUGGUAAGACUCUGGAACUGCUUUGACCAAUUAAACACAGCAGAAGUGACAUCAUGCUGGUUUCCUCCCCUAAGGCACUGGCAGCUUCCUCUUCCUAUCUCUUGAAACUCACUCUUGGAGUCCUGAGGCCUGAGUGUAAAGAUUCCAACUACCAACUGGAGAGACCAUAUGGAGAGAUCUUCAGCUCAUCUGGUGAGGGAGAGCGGCUCAGCAGAGUCAUUGCGGUCAAGAUACUAGGCAGAAACAGAGAGAGGAGACAUCUUAAUGAGGACAGCAGAACACAUGAGAAACUAAUGAAAAGAACACGACGAUGCCCCAGAGGUGCCUAAUACAUUGUGAAUUCCAUUAUAAAUAAAAUCUGAUUAUUUUUA
Long non-coding RNA from Cebus imitator (Panamanian white-faced capuchin), 591 nucleotides. RefSeq lists it as uncharacterized. The record is from RefSeq and is a predicted model, not a curated record. The transcript has 3 exons. NCBI's taxonomy places the organism in Eukaryota, Metazoa, Chordata, Mammalia, Primates, Cebidae.